This 19-nucleotide non-coding RNA is filed under the name Gossypium hirsutum (cotton). The record is from RNAcentral. Lineage: Eukaryota; Viridiplantae; Streptophyta; Magnoliopsida; Malvales; Malvaceae.
UGACUGAAGUAAGGAGAGG